AGAGGAGUCGGAGCUGUAGGAAAACGUUGCUCUGGAAGCGGUGGCCUCUCUGACCCUCGCUCAGAGCACUUUGAAAAAGCAAGACAGAAAGACCUCCGUUUCCCAGGCCCGGAAGGAGCUUUGACCGUUCAAGCCUGCACGGCGGCGCAAUGAAUCUCACCGGAACCCUUUCUCCCACUGCUGCAGAACCUUUCUGGCGCGUUAUGGCGCGCUGCUUAGAGCGUCACUUCCGGCGACUUGCAGGAGGCAGGAGAGUGAGGGAAAGGCUGGAAGGUGGCAGGGGGUGUGUUCCUGACGCCCAUGUGGCUCACCUCCUCUGUGCUCUGAGCCAUGGCACACCGACCCGGAAGCCUCCUCUAUGCUGGGAGCUGUGGGAUGCCUACCCAGAAGCCUCCUCUAUGCUGGGAGCCACAGGACCACUACCCAGAAGCCUCCUCUACACUGGGAGCCGCGGCACGCUUACUCGGAAGCCUGCUUCUGCCUGGGAGCCAUGGCAUGCCAACCCAGAAGCCCCCUCUAAGCUGGGAGCUGCGGCACACCUACCCGGAAGCCUCCUCCUGCCUGCAAACCGUGGCACACCAACCUGGAAGUCUCCUCUGGGCUGGGAGCUAUGGCAUGCCGACCCAGAAGCCCCCUCCAUGCAGGCUUUUUACUUUUUAAAACACUUCAUCUACUGCUCCUAAGUGAAGCACAAUGUUCUUUUUCUGUAAGUCAUACUCUGUAGUGAGAGCAGCAAUUUCCAUGCAACCUUGAAUGUGAUGCCAAAUUAGGGGUCCGAUGUGGGGGCUGGUCUGAGCCUGGCUGCUUCCUUUGCAUGAAACCUCAGCCAAAGGACGGGAAGCAGGAGCAGAUAAAUCCACGCUGGUCCCCAAAACCUCCAGCAGGUUUUUAUUCUCGAUCACCCACCAGCCACAACACACAUCAAAUAAGAAAAGUAAAAGGAAAUA
This is a non-coding RNA of Heterocephalus glaber (naked mole-rat), 947 nucleotides long. NCBI's taxonomy places the organism in Eukaryota, Metazoa, Chordata, Mammalia, Rodentia, Bathyergidae. The record is from RefSeq and is a predicted model, not a curated record.